CAACCAAUGACUUGGCGGAC
This 20-nucleotide microRNA is filed under the name Spodoptera frugiperda (fall armyworm). RNAcentral describes it as "sfr-miR-10451-3p". Lineage: Eukaryota; Metazoa; Arthropoda; Insecta; Lepidoptera; Noctuidae. The record is from miRBase by way of RNAcentral.